Tachysurus fulvidraco (yellow catfish) is the source of this 300-nucleotide long non-coding RNA. RefSeq lists it as uncharacterized. The record is from RefSeq and is a predicted model, not a curated record. Lineage: Eukaryota; Metazoa; Chordata; Actinopteri; Siluriformes; Bagridae. The transcript has 3 exons.
UGUGCAAUGGGUUUGCGUGGGUAUGCCAGCAUCUCAUUCCAGUGGUCUCUGCCGAGUCCCUCGGCUGCGCACCCGACACGGUUCACUCCAAUGAUCUCGUUAUGACCCACCCUGGAAAAGAAAGGAAAGUAUAAACAGGCUUCAGGACAAUUCCAAGCACUAGGUUUUCAUCUAGAAAUCAAACUUGAGGAAGAGGAGCUGAGGAGCUAAGGAGAUGGAUCAGGUGUGUCAGCGUUAAGGAUUUUUCUCUUUUAGGUCACACCAAGUGAAACAGAGCAGACAAAUUUGUAAGGACUUCAG